This is a non-coding RNA of Labrus bergylta (ballan wrasse), 253 nucleotides long. The record is from RefSeq and is a predicted model, not a curated record. NCBI's taxonomy places the organism in Eukaryota, Metazoa, Chordata, Actinopteri, Labriformes, Labridae.
GGAGGUGGUGGACCAGGUUCUACACACAGUCAGCAAGUCCAACAGUCUGGAGGAGCUCACUCUGGAGAACGCAGGACUCAAAUCGGAUUUUCCGCAGAAGAUGGCGUCAGCGCUGUCAGAGAACCCAGCCUCUGUGAUUCACUCCCUAAACCUGGCUCAUAACACGCUCGACAACCAAGGCGUCUCCAACCUGAUUCAACAGGUGUGUCGCCUCAACAAGGGACUGCGCCUCCUCAAUCUUGCCAAGACCUCC